UCCUCUCAGAGCUGUGACACAGUCUACUGAUGUUAUUGUGUGGGAAGGGAGAGAGCUACUGGGAGGAGGUUGUGCCAGACAGACUGAUGGAAUGCCCCUUAGAAUAAAAGGAUCAGAUUCCUCAGAUGCCAGGUGGGCAGGGCUGAGGAUCUAGGGCAGAGGGAAAGAUCCUAAGCACCAGGCAGGCUUCACCCAGAAGGAAGAUGCUGGAUCUUGGAAUUGGCUUUGGAUAAGGAGCACCCAGUAUUUCCUUAGCCUUAAGAGGGCAGCAACCCAGCCUGCCUCCUUUCCUGUUGUGUCUAAGAGCCCCGGGCAAUCAGUGGACAGGUAGCAGGUGUGGAAGAGAUGUGAGUGAAGGAACAGGUUGGCAGGACACGGCCUUGGCAGACAUAGAGUCAUCUCAAUGCCCCUUGGCUGGGGAGAUGAUGAGCAGCCCCCAGCUGGCCUGGGUAAAGAUAAUGCCUAUGGCAUGCCCAGGCAGGAUUAUAUCACUAAGUAGUAUGCCCUUAUCUUAGAAGAUUUGGCUAACAGGUGUUUCCCUUCUGCCUAUCGUCUGCCAAGCAGGUUGUAACCCGAGCAAUGUAACCAGAAUCUCUUGCUCCUCCCACUGUCUAUUCCCUGGCAUACACUUCCAACAGCUUCUCUGUAACUGAAGGGUCUGCUUCUUGUCCCCUUCAGUUUCCACAUGAUGUUUGUGAGGGCUCACACCCAUUGGUCAUACAGCUUGCUUGGACAUACAUUAGAAUGUUAACCACUCCAAUCCCAGUGGGGGUAGAGCUGCUACCCAUGACCUCCUAAGGCUUGUCCUUCGUCCUGGGCCAUCCUCCCUCCUGUCCUUCCUCAGGUCCAGCCACCUCUAAUAUCACCCAAACUUCAGACACCCCAAUGCAUUUGCCAGCCUGACCCUCUGCUGGUGCCCUGUCUAAUACGAAACAGUCCACUAAGAGCCAGGAGACAAGGAGGGACAUAGAGAGCUUCAAAUAUGAAGUUCCCAGGGAUGGCAGGGACUAUGUCGAGCCCAUUCUCCGAAGCUGGAGUCCACUGGCCAGUCAAGAGGCACCCCAGCCAGCACUGUGAGCAGAAAGAUGGGCGAGCAGAACUGAGUACUCUCAAAGGACGAUUCGCAGUGCUUUGAGUCCCAGGUACCUGGGCUGCCAUCAGAAGCCACCUGGAACUGAUUCCAGAGCAAGGCUCUCACUCCUUGGGGAUGGACUUUUAUCUCAACUGGUUGAGAUAGGGAUGCUGGCUUAAAUUAUAACCCCAGCCUAUCCCUCCUAGGUGCAAACUCUUCUGGGCCAUCCACUUCCCUGAAAACCUUUGUAUGACUCCAGCAGAGGUUUCCACUCAGCUACCCACUGUUCCAAUGGUGGGCAUGCAGUUCCCAGCAGUUUGCCCUCUACAACGCACGCCCCCAAACACUACCAACAGCUCCCCUGGUCUCACAGUAUCCCCUCGUGCCCAAUGUCCCCAGUGUUCUGAUAUUCCAAUACGUUGCCUCCACAGUAUGCUACUCCUAGGUCCCUGACCGCUGGCCCGCCCCUAUGAAGGAGCCUCUUUUGUGGGUUCCACUUUCAGUAUCCCCUGUCUUCGAGAGCCACCCGGGGUCCCCGUGUCCCUAUCCUCAGCUUCCCUGCCACCAGCCGCCACCGCCUGAGUUUCUCCAUCACCACCAUGCGUCCCUGCGUCCCACCUCGCGGUCUCGGGGUACCCGAGGAUCCCCGCGGUCCUGGCCCCGGCCUCCCGCGUCCCCCGCGUUCCCAGCCCCGCGCCGCUGACGCCAUGACGCCGCGGCGGAGCGAGGGGCGGAGCGGGCGGCCGGACGAGCGCGGCUCCAAGACCGGUCCCGCAGCAGCUGUGCGCCGUGGCCGAUGGACAUGGGCACGCAGGGAUCGGGGCGCAAGCGGCUCCCCAACCGGGAGCGGCUGACGGCGGAGGACGACGCGCUGAACCAGAUCGCGCGCGAGGCGGAGGCCAGGCUCGCAGCGAAGCGUGCAGCCCGAGCCGAGGCUCGAGAGAUCCGGAUGAAGGAGCUGGAACGGCAGCAGAAAGAGAUCUAUCAAGUCCAGAAGAAAUAUUAUGGGCUGGAUACAAAAUGGGGCGACAUCGAGCAGUGGAUGGAAGACAGCGAGCGCUACUCUCGUAGAUUCCGGAGAAACACGUCGGCUUCUGACGAAGACGAGCGCUUGUCCGUGGGUAGUCGCGGCAGCCUAAGGGCACAGCCCGAGCUGGAGUAUGGGAGUCCCUACGCCUGGACUAACGGUUAUGACGGAGACUAUUGUGGAUCCCAGUCCCUAAGUAGAAGAUCUGGCAGGAAUUCCAGCUUCAGCGGCGGUGAUGGCCGAGUCUCUACUUUGUCAUCCUGCAGAGAGGAGAAGUUGGGACUCUCCUGCUCCAACCUUGGCCUUCCCAGCAGUGGCCUUGCUUCCAAACCCCUGUCUACCCAGAAUGGAUCCCGGCCCUUCGUUUUGUGCAAUGCUGCCUGGCCUACUGGGAGUUACCGGGCGUCCAUGCUGGAUGAGAGCAGCCUCUAUGGGGCUCGAAGGGGAAGCGCCUGUGGUUCUCGAGCACCCUCAGAAUAUGGCAGCCACCUCAACUCCAGCUCCCGGGCCUCUUCUAGGGCCAGCUCUGCAAGGGCCAGUCCUGUGGUAGAAGAAAGACCAGACAAAGACUUUGCUGAGAAGGGCUCCCGUAACAUGCCUAGCCUGUCUGCAGCCACACUGGCAUCUCUGGGUGGGACUUCCUCCCGGAGAGGGAGUGGAGAUACCUCCAUCUCCAUGGACACCGAAGCAUCCAUCAGGGAAAUCAAGGAACUUAAUGAGUUAAAGGACCAGAUUCAGGAUGUAGAAGGCAAAUACAUGCAGGGACUGAAAGAGAUGAAGGACUCGCUGGCCGAAGUUGAGGAGAAGUACAAGAAAGCUAUGGUCUCCAACGCCCAGCUAGACAAUGAGAAGACCAACUUCAUGUACCAGGUGGACACACUGAAGGACAUGCUGCUGGAGCUGGAAGAGCAGCUGGCCGAGUCUCAGCGGCAAUACGAGGAGAAGAACAAGGAGUUCGAGAGGGAGAAGCAUGCCCACAGCAUCCUGCAGUUCCAGUUUGCCGAAGUGAAAGAGGCCCUGCGGCAAAGGGAAGAGAUGCUCGAGGAAAUCCGACAGCUGCAGCAGAAACAGGCGGGUUUUAUCAGGGAGAUUUCUGAUCUUCAGGAAACGAUAGAAUGGAAAGACAAAAAGAUAGGGGCAUUAGAAAGACAGAAAGAGUUCUUUGAUUCCAUAAGGAGCGAACGAGAUGACCUUAGAGAAGAAACAGUCAAGCUGAAGGAGGAGUUGAAGAAACAUGGAAUAAUCCUAAAUUCAGAAAUAGCCACCAACGGAGAGACUUCAGACACAGUAAAUGACGUUGGGUAUCAAGCCCCUACGAAGAUAACAAAAGAAGAGCUGAAUGCCCUCAAGUCGGCCGGGGAGGGGACCCUAGGAAAAGCCAAAGAAGUGGAGGUGAAAAAGGAAAUUGUGGAGAAAGUGGGGCAAAGAGAAACCUUACAGAAUUCUGAGCAAGAACAGCCCAAACCCAACACAGGAAAGGAUUGUGUGGACAGAGGGGUGUCACAUCCUGGUGAGAAGGCUGAGAACCAGAGACCCGCUGAAGACAGUGCCCUGUCCCCGGGACCACUAGCAGGGGCCAAAUGUGAGCAACAGGUUCAGAGCCAAGAUCAAGAGAAUACUUCUGACCUCAAAAACUCAGAGCAGAUCGAGUCACACAAGGUCACAAACAAGUCAGAUAGUAGGGCCAGUAACUCCCCUGAACAGUCCAGCUGCCUGGAAGGUCUAGACAGUGAAGUGCCAGGGCCCACUGAGGAUUUGAAAACAGAUUUGGGGAAAGGUAGCUUUGAACCAUGUCCAGACUACAUUUUGGGGCAAACAGCUGAAAUUGACAAGGUGACCUGUACAGACUCAAGAGGCACAGGUGGAAACCAAAGGGAGGAUGAGGUACAGGCAGGGGACACCACAGUUGAGGACCAAGUAGGGACAGUGGCUUCUGGACCUGCAAAGCAAAGCAAAGGCACCGAGAAUCAUGGUGAAAGUUGUCUGAAGGAUGGGCUGGGACAGAGCUCAGAGAGAGAACUCACCCAAGAAGUAGCUGAGCCUGAGGAAGCCAUCGUUCAGAUCCCACAGGCCGGUGGAGAGAACACUAUUACCAAGGCAGAUGAUGCCGAAGGAAGGGAUGAGAAGCCCAUCCAGGCAGAAGCCCAGGCAAGCCCUGGAGCUCCCAUAAAUCAGAGCGGCCAUCAGGACACAACAGGACCAGGCAGCACCGAUGCCCAGCGCACACCACCUCAUGCAAAAGAGCGCAAGAAACAAGGGAAGAGCGAGCAGCAGGCAGAGGCCUUGGAUUCACCGCAGAAGAAGACGAAGAACAAGAAGAAGAAGAACAAGAAGAAGAAAGCUGCAACUCCCGCGGAAACCUGCAGAGAUGCCAAUGAAGAGUUGAACUGUCAGGACCCAGAUGUGGGUGACAUGGAGGAGGAAGAGCGGCUCCAGGUCACUGACAAGAAACAGGCAUCAGGAAGCCCAGAGCAGAAAAUCAGAGCGGGAAGCAGAGAACCUGUCGAAGAUCCUCAAAGUGGGUCGAGUGGAAAACAGAACAAAGUGGAAGAGGAUGGUCCCACGGAAGGUCCCACAGACAUCUUGGAUCAGAACAGUCCCCAGUGUGAAGACAGGGAGAUCUCCCCAGUGGGAGAGAAAGGUCCCCAAUGCGAUACCUCUCAGAUAGGUAGUGAAGAGGGACAUGUGACCUCCCAACACGGUGGUCAGGCAGUUGAGAACCACAACCUAGAUAACAGUGACCUGUCAGGGCAGCUGGAGGGCUUCAAUUCAGAAAGUGGAGGGCAGGCAAGAGAGGAGGUUGGGAAUAGCAAGAGUAAGGAGGACUGCACCAUGUCGUGAGGAGGCAGAGCAGGAGACUUAGCCCAGUAAGCUCCGUCCCUCAGCCACCCACUAUAUCAGAACCUCCAUCCUUCCGCUCCACUGCCCUGCUGAGGUUUAUUGAAUGUUCCAGUUUCUGUGGAUGCUCCAUGUGUCCAUCACCAAGUAUCAACUACUUAAGUCUUAGACUGUUACCUGUAGAUUUGUACUGAACCACUGAUCGCUGAGCCAGUACUGUUUUUUACUAGCAGUUCUAGCUGAGAACAUUCCAUUAGCAUCAGGGGACACCAGGUGUGCAUUCCAGCCUGAAGGUUAAAAGGUAGCGUUUGCUUCAGGCCAGGACGAAUGUGGAUGUUCUUGACCAAAUGCAUCAGUAUCUGGUUGAAAUGACCAAAUGGGGUGUUCGUAGAUUUCUGCAUUAUAAGCAGUGAAUAUUCAAAUAUGUGUUAUUCAGAUAGAUGUAUUUUCAUAUUUGAUCUUAAUAUGUACACAUAGCCUGUUUGGUAUUAAAUUUAAAGGAGUAGACUGAUAAGUAGCAUAUAGGUCAGUGGGUGAGAGGAGCUACAUCUAGGGUGGAGAUUUAUCACUGUAGAGAUUCAGAUACGUUCCAGAAAACACAGGGAGACCAUGUGCCUUUACCUCACAUAAAUACUUUAUUUUGCACCAAUGCUCUUGGAUCUUGUUGCCAAUGGUACCCAAAUUAAUAUUAUCAAAGACUUUUAUUUUCACUUUAUGCGGGUGAUGUAAUAAAUUCAUUUUAUAUUGAAUAUUUUAUUUUUACUCUUCUCUGCUAAUGACACAUUGAAAUUAUAUUUCCUACUUUAGUAUCAAGGAGAAACAGCCAUUAUUUUUUUUUAAUUUUAAAGUUAUCUUUCUGCCCGAAUGUCUACUUAAAAAUUGCAAAAGGCUGUUCUUAUACAAAAGGACUCAUUAGAUUAUAAGCCGACAUUUUGUGUUUGAUAUAAAUAUUUUUAUUUGUUGUUUCUCGAUAUUUUCUUAUUGGAAAUUUAUUAUUUUAUCUGCCUGAAGGAAGUAUGUAUUUUCUAUCUAAAGAAGCAUUUAGAAAAUGACUGUAAAGUUGAAUUUAAAAGUAUUAGUAAAUAAUCACAAGCGGAUGCACUAUGUGACUGCUGUUGUUGACAUGUUAUGGAGUCAUGUGAACUCGUACUACUGUUACAAGGUAGAGUGGAAUGCAAAAUAACCAAAACCUCAGUGAAAUUUGAGUCAAACUGAAGAGUCAUAUCAUUGAAAUAAAAGCAUUUUCUAAUUUUACAAGCCUACUGGUUGUUCUGGUCUUUGAGACCCUUGACCUCUAACCCUGGUAGCUGCUUGCUCGGUGCCCACAUGAAGUCACUUCUGGCUUCGAGCUCCCUCAGGGGUUCCAGAAAAUCCAGUUCCAAGUGCCUUCAUCAUUAGCAAGUGAGCCCCACUGCUGAGAGGCUGCCCUGGCGCUGGUGUGGAAGCCGAGAGAGCAGCCCCAAACCCAUCCCUGUACUCUGAACGUGCCCAUGUGUUCCCCACUAAGGAAGGCUUCCAUUGGUGCUCUGCUAAAGUGUGCCAGUGCAGAGCUGUUUGUGGAAGAGAAUAAAAGUGGUGAGGAAGGGGGCUGGAGAGACGGCUCAAUGGUUAAGAGCACCGACUGCUCUUUCAGAAGUCCUGAGUUCAAUUCCCAGAAACCACAUGGUGGCUCACAACCAUCUGUAAUGAGAUCUGAUACCCUAAUGGGAUCCGAUGCCCUCUUCUUGUGUGUCUUAAGAGAAAGUGAGGAAACACUGGCUGUGUGUGCAUGUCCUGAGAAACAGGGCAGACGAGCUGCUGCAUGCUCUACACCUAUGCCAUGAACAUGAAAUAGGAGGGAGGCUGCAGGCUGUGCCCCAGGGCUCUGCAGGGCCAGAAGGCUGCAGUCAGUGGCUCCAGCUUCGGCCAAGCCCCCAGUUAUACUUCAACUCAAAUGUCUACUCUCACUCAGUGCCUGGAAAGCUACCUCUAGGGGUGUUUAGAGGGCUUGGGGUUCUUGUUUUCUAUUGGUUGUUAACUUUCUGAGAGGCCACCUGGUCUCUUUAUGCCAAGGGGAACAUGGUAAACUAUAUUCCCAGUGGCCUGCCUCUGAAAGCCAGGAGGGGUGUUUUCUGUGCUGGGGCAGCAUGGUGGUCAUGCUUAGACACCGUUUUCCAGGGAAAAGGCAUUCCACCCACCCCUUCACCGCUUCUGCUGCCCCUUACACGCUUGCCCCUUUACACACACUUGGCUAUAAUGGCCAGUGGCUGAAGGAGGGAAGUCCCCUGUCCAUGCACACCCCUUGAGUGCUGUGAUAAGAAAAGAGAACCAGUUAAGCCACCCUUCUCUUUUCUGGAAGGAGGCAGCCUCGGGAAAGGUGGAAGCUGCCAUUGUUAGGUUCUGUCAGAGAAGGUAGGAGGAGGGGGCUUCGGGAAAGGUGCAGCCAGUGCGUUUCCUGGGCCCCCACCAUCACAUUUGAGCAUACAGGGGGACAAGUCCCUUGGGCAAUGGGGGUGGGGGACGUGAUAGCUAAAAUUAUCUCAUACAGUGCAAAGUACAUGCGGAAGACAUUCGCCACAAACAAAUCACUAGACUUGGGAAAGCUUCCUUUUGCCUAUGGAAGAAGGGAGUCCCAGCUUUCAGAGUUGUGGAUGGGGUAUUUUGGCCUUGAGUGAUCCUAGGAUGGAGUGUCUAAGAUACCCAGACUUCAAGAUGACCAAAGGAAUCAGGAGUUUGGAGAAUCCCAGCACUUGUUUGGGUGCCUCAGGAAUUUUCUAGAAGGUGCUAACUCUCUGCUUCCCAUUUGGGGGUCUCAAAACUACAGCAGAAAGUUUGCUAAAAUUUAACAUACUAGAAAAACAGAUUUUAAAAAAAACCUUUAAUGAGCUAAAGAUAACUUGAAUAUCUAACCGACUCAUUUUAACAUGCGUAAGUUAAAGUAGAACACGAAAGGGUCAGACGGUUGUUAAUUCUUGACAAGUACCGGCUCCAGGGGCUUGGGGGGGAUGGGGAACUUGGGUUAGGAUCCCUUAAAUGAAAACGAAGGCGGGUUUCACGUGUGUGCAUUUUCACCCACAACUCAGCCAAGUUAACUACUUUCUGGACAGUUCUGAAGGAGGCAAUGUGGGGACACGUUCAUGCUGGGGAUGGGAGCUCUAGGCCAGGUUUUAAGGGUUCCACUGAGAGGUUCAAGUCCUGACCUGAGAAGCCCACGGACAGCAGUGGUCAGGAACACCCUAAGGCUGUGAUCCCUUAGGCGUUAGGAGCAUCACCUACCCAUCACACUGGGCCUCCCCUUCAUCUGAAGGUCAAUGCAAGAUGCCUGUUCAUGGGGACCCUGGGCUUUGGACCAGCUUGUAGCAGAUAAACUGGAAGUGGCCACAGGGUCUUCAUAGGCAUUCAGCAUCCAACAUCCUGAUUUUGCAUUCGGGUAUUCAGGGUCAGUUCUUCCUGUAGAUCAGAGAGUCAUUUAGUACUCUUCUAGAGAGAUUUGGGGGGCUGACUGACAGACACACGCAUACACUUCCUUCUAUUCCUUCUGUUCCAUCCUGUUGGAGGUGGGAGGAGUUAAAGGAAUUAAAGCCAUUACUGUGCUUUUCUUACUAAAAAAAAUAAUAACAGCAUAUUAUAACUGGCUUGGUGGACAUGGUGUCAUUGGCUGGGGGGUUGUAAAGAGAGUUAAAACUCUGACAUCGGGUGCGUCUGUGCGAACAAUAGGUGUGGAGUAUAUACAUUUGGAAAGAGUUCUCCUUGAAACUUUAGCGCUCAUGAAACAGCAACCUUGCACAUUGCUAAACCGUGAAGCCUGUGAGAUCUUGUGUUGCAGCGUGUUUCCCUAGCGUUCUUGCAUGCUAGCCUAAAUAGAAGAGCAGCCUGUUUGCAUGAGCCCGGAGGCUGCCCCAAUGAGAAGCAUGUCGGGAGGCUGGCACCACCCUCUGGCUGAGCUCCUCCCCGUCCUGUCUGUGGCCUCAUCCAUCGUGACGUUAGGUUGAAAAAGCUCAUUGAUGAACGGGAAUGUCUGUUGGAACAGAUUAAGAAGCUCAAAGGGCAGCUGGAGGGAAGACAGAAGAACAACAAGCUGGACCUUCUUCGAGCCGAGGACGGUAUCUUGGAGAAUGGGACAGACGCGCAUGUCAUGGAUCUGCAAAGAGAUGCCAACAGACAGAUCAGCGACCUCAAAUUUAAACUUGCAAAAUCUGAGCAAGAGAUAACUGCCUUAGAACAAAAUGUAAUAAGGUUAGAGAGCCAAGUAACGCGCUAUCGAUCAGCCGCCGAAAAUGCAGAAAAAAUAGAAGAUGAACUAAAGGCAGAAAAACGGAAGCUCCAGAGAGAGCUUCGCUCUGCACUGGACAAAACAGAAGAGCUCGAGGUGAGCAACGGCCACCUCGUAAAGCGACUGGAAAAGAUGAAAGCCAACCGCAGCGCUCUCUUGUCCCAGCAAUAAAUACCAGCAGCAAGUGGGCACCUCUCUGGGGACUCAGAUGCCCAGCCUGGCUUAUGAGCUUUUAUCUGUACUGUCGGGAGCAUUGCAUCUUUCCCUGCCUCCGAGGGAAGAAGUGCUUCCAUGCAAGGGUCACCCGGGGAGCCCAGCAGCACCAGAUGCCUCUGUCUGCAGACCCUUGCCCUGGCCGGGAUGAUACUCAGAGCCUGCAGGUUUCUUCAUAAGCACACUGGGUCUCACGAGAGCUCUGGACUUGAUGCACAGGGGCCUCUUAAUCCCACCAACAGGGGUGACUGAGGUGGGGGUUAAGGUGGGACUUGAUUUUUCUUUUGUGUCUUGCUGAAGGUUAAGGGAGAAUGUUCCAGUGUUGGGGACGAUCCGUGGUGGAACCUACAGUCCCAAUGACUCCAGUAGUGUCUCUUAGUCUCUGCUUCCCAUACACAAAACACUGUGGAACCACAAGCCAUUACCAAGCAAAGCUCCUCCUUUGGAGUCGAGGCGAUGGUCUAGACGUAAAGUGACCUUAAGAAGACUCUUUCCAGGCAACAGAUGAAGCUUUUCUAAGGGACUUUUGCAUUGGUUCAGUUAUAAGAGUACUUUUCCCAGGGUCAUUAGGCUACGGUAGCUUCACCGAAAACAACAGCUUUUCAUUUGCAUUAUUUAAACCUUAUAUUUGAAAUUGAAGUUGUUAACUUCUUUUAAAGAAUGUACUGCUAGAAAAAAACAUUUUAAAAAUGAAACGUUAAAGAGC
This is an RNA transcript of Mus musculus (house mouse), 10108 nucleotides long. It is a transcript of the gene named leucine rich repeat (in FLII) interacting protein 1, with no coding region annotated. The transcript is spliced from 27 exons. The record is from RefSeq and is marked validated. Lineage: Eukaryota; Metazoa; Chordata; Mammalia; Rodentia; Muridae.